Zophobas morio is the source of this 1484-nucleotide long non-coding RNA. RefSeq lists it as uncharacterized. The record is from RefSeq and is a predicted model, not a curated record. The transcript is spliced from 3 exons. Lineage: Eukaryota; Metazoa; Arthropoda; Insecta; Coleoptera; Tenebrionidae.
UGACUAACAUAACAAGGCGAUACUGGCGAUAACAAGUGAAAUUUUUGGUUGGCUGUUGAUAUACACACGCACAAAUUCCAAUAACUAAAUCAUCCACGGAAAAAGAAGUUCCACGUUUAGGAGUAUAUUUGUAAUGAAGUGCAGGAGGCGAAGCGCCCGUGUGUCCUUUCAAAAAGUUAGCACGCGUUGGUGACCAUAAAAAGUUAGGUUAUGUUAGCAACGGCUGCAAUGCUGCAAUUAAAGAAUGCACGAAUGCGAAAUUUAACAAAUUUUUGUGGCAAAAGGAAGCAUUUGCAUAACAUUUGAAGAUGAGGAAUGUGAUCAAAAGAUGCUGUAGAAGAGCUUUGCACAAACAGUUUGUGCGAAAUCGAGAAGCGCGUGUUCUGCGCGAUGUUACGGAGUUAGAUAAGCGCAAAUGUAGUUCAUUUUCAAACUGUUUUUCAGAAGUUGAAGGCGCAUUGAUGACCAGUGGGACCAAGGGCCUUUGGUGGUUAAAUAUGCCUUUAUAUACAUGGACACCAGAUGCAUGUGCUUAGAAAGAUGAUUUUUGAUUAAGAACUCAGAGCAACAGUAUCUUUAAUGGUGUAUACAAAUUUGACAAACAACGCAUUUUAAUGUCUGAUAACUACAUUUCCUAUCCAUCAGUUCUACUUCAUGAAACUACAUUAUCACAACUUAUCUGGGUGGCAAGUUUAUGGGACUUACUGACCAAAAGGUCAUGGUGAAUAGCUGUAAGUCAUAAAGUAGAUGAAAUUCUUGACCAAGAUGUAUCCUUCAGUAGUUUCUUCAAAGUGUCUAAAUAUGUUUCCAGCCCUCUAUUGGUUUACCACCAAAAUAUUUGUAUUUCAAAGAUCUGUGCAAAGAUUUGGCGUGCAUGUUGGUGUUAAUGCCUGCGUUCUUUUGAUUACACUGGGCCUAUGACUUCAUGCGCUCUUUAUUUUGAAAGUAGCAUUCCAAUAUGUAGCUGUAACUAUCAUCUGUCAUGAAAUAAUUGGGUACCAAAACCGAUAUUAAUGAUUUUAUUUCACCAACCAGAACCUCUUAUAUGUUGGUGUCCUUUCAGUUGGACAGAAUAAAUGUUACUGGAUAAUCAAUAUUUUUAUCAUCUAACACAUGGACUUGUGGUCAAUUCAAUGUCAUAGAGGUUUGUCCCAUGUGUGCCAUCUACACAAAUGAUUUUGGCGCCAUAUUUUUUUAACAUAUACUCCAGCCCACUGUACAUGGAAGCUAAUGCAGUCAUUUUUGUGCAAUUUUUCAUGUUCUGAUGCACAACAAGAUUUUCCUUACUUCAUUUACCAGAUAUAUUAUUUUUUCUGCAAUGUGGGGAAUGUCUUUCAUAGUCAGAAGAUUAAAUCUGGUACAUGAACUGAGUUCUAGAUUUUUAACAGUUUCAAUUAUUUUUUCGUGUGUUAGACCAGUGCGAAUUUGUUCAACUAGAUAUGUCGUUUCUUUUGUAGUCAGGGGUUGACAGCGAAGAUCAUUGU